RNAcentral lists this ribosomal RNA (884 nucleotides) under uncultured bacterium. RNAcentral's name for it is "bacterial SSU rRNA". It matches the Rfam family "Bacterial small subunit ribosomal RNA", at positions 54 to 951 of the family's 1533-position model. The record is from RNAcentral.
CAUGCAAGUCGAACGAGAGAGAAGGAGCUUGCUUCUUCGAUCGAGUGGCGAACGGGUGAGUAACGCGUGAGGAACCUGGCUCAAAGAGGGGGACAACAGUUGGAAACGACUGCUAAUACCGCAUAAGCCCACGGGUCGGCAUCGACCUGAGGGAAAAGGAGCAAUCCGCUUUGAGAUGGCCUCGCGUCCGAUUAGCUAGUUGGUGAGGUAACGGCCCACCAAGGCGACGAUCGGUAGCCGGACUGAGAGGUUGAACGGCCACAUUGGGACUGAGACACGGCCCAGACUCCUACGGGAGGCAGCAGUGGGGAAUAUUGCACAAUGGGGGAAACCCUGAUGCAGCGACGCCGCGUGGAGGAAGAAGGUCUUCGGAUUGUAAACUCCUGUUGUUGAGGAAGAUAAUGACGGUACUCAACAAGGAAGUGACGGAUAACUACGUGCCAGCAGCCGCGGUAAAACGUAGGUCACAAGCGUUGUCCGGAAUUACUGGGUGUAAAGGGAGCGCAGGCGGGAAGACAAGUUGGAAGUGAAAUCUAUGGGCUCAACCCAUAAACUGCUUUCAAAACUGUUUUUCUUGAGUAGUGCAGAGGUAGGCGGAAUUCCCGGUGUAGCGGUGGAAUGCGUAGAUAUCGGGAGGAACACCAGUGGCGAAGGCGGCCUACUGGGCACCAACUGACGCUGAGGCUCGAAAGUGUGGGUAGCAAACAGGAUUAGAUACCCUGGUAGUCCACACCGUAAACGAUGAUUACUAGGUGUUGGAGGAUUGACCCCUUCAGUGCCGCAGUUAACACAAUAAGUAAUCCACCUGGGGAGUACGACCGCAAGGUUGAAACUCAAAGGAAUUGACGGGGGCCCGCACAAGCAGUGGAGUAUGUGGUUUAAUU